RNAcentral lists this ribosomal RNA (449 nucleotides) under uncultured bacterium. RNAcentral describes it as "partial 16S ribosomal RNA". It matches the Rfam family "Bacterial small subunit ribosomal RNA", at positions 329 to 795 of the family's 1533-position model. The record is from RNAcentral.
AUCCAGACUCCUACGGGAGGCAGCAGUGGGGAAUAUUGCACAAUGGGGGAAACCCUGAUGCAGCGACGCCGCGUGAGUGAAGAAGUAUUUCGGUAUGUAAAGCUCUAUCAGCAGGGAAGAAAAUGACGGUACCUGACUAAGAAGCCCCGGCUAACUACGUGCCAGCAGCCGCGGUAAUACGUAGGGGGCAAGCGUUAUCCGGAUUUACUGGGUGUAAAGGGAGCGUAGACGGCAUGGCAAGUCAGAUGUGAAAGCCCGGGGCUCAACCCCGGGACUGCAUUUGAAACUGUCAGGCUGGAGUGCAGGAGAGGUAAGUGGAAUUCCUAGUGUAGCGGUGAAAUGCGUAGAUAUUAGGAGGAACACCAGUGGCGAAGGCGGCCUGCUGGACGAUGACUGACGCUGAGGCUCGAAAGCGUGGGGAGCAAACAGGAUUAGAUACCCCGGUAAUC